AGCGAAUAGAUACCUGGUAGUCCAUGCUGUAAACGAUGGAUGCUAGCUGUGAUGCGUAUCGACCCGCGUCGUAGCGAAGCUAACGCGUUAAGCAUCCCGCCUGUGGAGUACGGCCGCAAGGCUAAAACAUAAAGGAAUUGACGGGGACCCGCACAAGCGGUGGAGCGUGUUGUUUAAUUCGAUGGUAAGCGAAGAACCUUACCCAGGUUUGACAUCCUUGGAAGUUCUGCGAAAGCAGAGUGUGCCUUCGGGAACCAAGUGACAGGUGAUGCAUGGCCGUCUUCAGCUCGUGUCGUGAGACGUUAGGUUAAGUCCUUCAACGAGCGCAACCCUUAUAGUUAGUUGUAUUUUCUAGCUAGACUGCCCUGGUAACAGGGAGGAAGGAGGGGACGAUGUCAGGUCAGUAUCUCCCUUAUAUCUGGGGCUACAAACACGCUACAAUGGCCGGUAC
RNAcentral lists this ribosomal RNA (451 nucleotides) under uncultured bacterium. RNAcentral's name for it is "bacterial SSU rRNA". It matches the Rfam family "Bacterial small subunit ribosomal RNA", at positions 767 to 1240 of the family's 1533-position model. The record is from RNAcentral.